UACAGAGGGCUCAAGCGUUGUUCGGAUUCAUUGGGCGUAAAGGGUGCGUAGGCGGCGCGGUAAGUCGGAUGUGAAAUCUCGGAGCUUAACUUCGAAACUGCAUUCGAUACUGCCGUGCUUGAGGACUGGAGAGGAGACUGGAAUUUACGGUGUAGCGGUGAAAUGCGUAGAGAUCGGGAAGAAGGCCGGUGGCGAAGGCGGCUCUCUGGAACGUUCCUGACACUGAGGCACGAAAGCGUGGGGAGCAAACAGG
Molecule: ribosomal RNA, 253 nt
Filed under: uncultured bacterium
Lineage: Bacteria
Description: partial 16S ribosomal RNA
Rfam family: Bacterial small subunit ribosomal RNA
Source: RNAcentral